RNAcentral lists this microRNA precursor (78 nucleotides) under Scleropages formosus (Asian bonytongue). RNAcentral's name for it is "mir-96 microRNA precursor family". It matches the Rfam family "mir-96 microRNA precursor family". Lineage: Eukaryota; Metazoa; Chordata; Actinopteri; Osteoglossiformes; Osteoglossidae. The record is from Rfam by way of RNAcentral.
UUGCCCAUUUUGGCACUAGCACAUUUUUGCUUCUGUAUAUAUUGGCUGAGCAAUUAUGUGUAGUGCCAAUAUAGGAAA